This 437-nucleotide ribosomal RNA is filed under the name uncultured bacterium. RNAcentral describes it as "bacterial SSU rRNA". It matches the Rfam family "Bacterial small subunit ribosomal RNA", at positions 8 to 447 of the family's 1533-position model. The record is from RNAcentral.
AGAGUUUGAUCCUGGCUCAGGACGAACGCUGGCGGCGUGCUUAACACAUGCAAGUCGAACGGAAAGGCCCCUUCGGGGGUGCUCGAGUGGCGAACGGGUGAGUAACACGUGGGUGAUCUGCCCUGCACUUCGGGAUAAGCUUGGGAAACUGGGUCUAAUACCGGAUAGGACCACGGCCUGCAUGGGUUGUGGUGGAAAGCUUUUGCGGUGUGGGAUGGGCCCGCGGCCUAUCAGCUUGUUGGUGGGGUGAUGGCCUACCAAGGCGACGACGGGUAGCCGGCCUGAGAGGGUGUCCGGCCACACUGGGACUGAGAUACGGCCCAGACUCCUACGGGAGGCAGCAGUGGGGAAUAUUGCACAAUGGGCGCAAGCCUGAUGCAGCGACGCCGCGUGGGGGAUGACGGCCUUCGGGUUGUAAACCUCUUUCACCAUCGACG